AGAUCCUUGAAGCCUAAAACAAUUAUUCAGUAACACAAUUUAGCCAUUUAAUCAACAAAAUUUCACGAUUACGCACUUAAUGCCUAUGUAAAAAAUUUUGACAUGAAAUUUUCAACGGACCCAAACUUACCGAAACUUCAGCGACAAUCACAGAAAUUGUCGUGCUGCUAUUCCUUAUUUCUAAUAUUCUCGCCUAUUAGGGAAACAAAUGAUCAUUUAUCAGAGAUUCUCGCAACUCACAAAAUACCCAAUUCAAAGCAAGUUACGAAAAAGAAGAAAACCGCAGAAACGCUCACAUUGACAGCUACUUACCUGAUAGCCUUCUGACCAGCGACUAACAACAAAAUUUUUGUAAUUCCGUAUCCCCCACGAAUCCGAUUAGCAAAAUAAAAUAAAAUGGAAAAGAAUGAAGAAAAAGAUAGAAGUGACGAGAAAAAAAAGAAAUAAAAAAACUAAAGAAGGAAGAACAAACGUUAAUUAAAUUCCUAACUUUCAAGCAGAUUUCUAACAAUUGACAAAAAUUUUCCUUAUCGUCCCCUUCGGGACUCGAACACGGGACCUAACAGAAUAU
Molecule: long non-coding RNA, 571 nt
Filed under: Gossypium barbadense (sea-island cotton)
Lineage: Eukaryota; Viridiplantae; Streptophyta; Magnoliopsida; Malvales; Malvaceae
Description: long non-coding RNA (GBAR_LNC021083)
Source: RNAcentral